GACUAAUCAAACACUGGAGCCAUAAAAAAUAUCUCCGCCACAAGAAAACCACUACAAAUUCAGCAAACUGACCAAACGGAUCAUUAGAUUAGAAAGCCAUCGCCGCCAUGGAUGAUGAUGAUCAUCAAGAGGAGGCGCCGGAGCAGGUGAAGCUUUUUGGCAUGUGGGCAAGCCCCUACGUCCUCAAGGUGAGAUGGGCGCUGAGCAUCAAGGGCGUGGAGUACGAGUACGUGGAGGAGGACCUGAGGAACAAGAGCCACGACCUCCUGGAGCACAACCACGUGCACAAGAAAGUCCCCGUGCUGCUCUACCGCGGCAUACCGGUGGCGGAAUCCGACGUCAUCGUCGAGUUCGUCGACGAGGCGUGGAGCCACCGCGGCGGCCGCAUCCUCCCCGACGACCCCCACGAGCGCGCCAUGGCCCGCUUCUGGGUGAGGUUCGUGCACGACAAGGUCAGCGCAGCGGUUCUCUUUCCUCCGUUCCAAGUUUGGUUUUGUGUAGCUCAAGCUACAUGAUACCCUUUAUCUUAGCCAUCCAUUUUUGCAUCAUGAUCCGUACAGGCACAUUUGUCAUUUUUGUUUCUCUCAAACGAGACAACGUAUAAACUUCAAACUUUACAGAACAACAAAACAUUCUAAUUACUAUGUGGGAAAAAACUUUCAGAUUUUUUCAUGCAUUUUAAAUGCUAAAAAUUAUUUUUUUAAUCAAAAAAAUCCUCAUUUUGUAUAUUUAUGUUGGUCCAAAAAAUCUGAAAGUUUUUUCACACAUUGAAGUUGUAAGUUUUGUUUGACCUGGAAAGUUUGAAGUCUACAUAUUCUUUCAUUCGAGAGAAACAAAAAAGAAAAAUCUUCUUGCUGUAAGUUAGUUGAAGAGUAUGAAUCUCAAAGCAACUUUGAAGGACUGAAGAUAAAAGGUUACAUGUAGCCUGAGCUACAAAGGAACUUUACCCAGAUGAUUCCUGGAGGAGUUGAUCGCCGUCGGCGGCAAGGAUUUCUUUGCCGGGGAGAGCGUCGAGCUCGUGGAUCUGUCGCUCGGUGCGUUGGCGUACGUGGUCCCGAUGUACGAGGAGAUCAUCGGCGUGAGGCUGGUCACCGAGGAGAGGUUCCCGUCUCUGUCAGCGUGGAUGGGGCGAUUCUUGGACUCGCCGCCGGUGAAGGAUCACCCGCCGCUAGUGGAGAGGCUGAAACCCAGGUACCGAGCCAUGCGUGAAGCCUUUCUGAACAUGGGCUAGAUCAAAGCCACUGUCUGCGUUUAAGUGAUUGCUUGUACUAUGUCAAAAAAAAAUUGCUUGUACUAGUACGAUAUAUACAGUCCUACCCACAAAAAAAAACGGUCCAGUGCAUCCUUGUAUUUACAUGGCUUGUACUAUGAUCUUUACGAUAUAAAUAAGACACAUAUUUACCAUAAAAAAUGACUCAUUUUCUAUGAAAUUUCAGAAAUUCCAGUCAUCACAGUAGCUAUCAAAUAUACGCAUUUCAAGCAAAAUAUUAUGGUGACAUAAAUUCAAGUCAGAUUUCAACAGAAACCAAAUUUUCUAACGCGGACACUCUGCAGCUACAUGUGUAUUGUCAUUGGAAAAAGAAAACCCAUGUAACAUUUUUUUCUCAGAAAUACUCGUGUAAGAACAUCUACAACCACAAUGUUCUAAUUUGAGCCCUAUAGCGUCUAGUCACCUCUCAUUUGGCCAGGCCAUCCUUCUUAUAUCAAAACCUCUAAAUCCAUGCAACCCCAGAUCAGGCAUAGCAAUGUUCAAUUUACAGCCGGACAUAGCAUAUGAAGUUCAUAAAAGAUCGGACAUAGCAUAGCAUAUUCACAAAAGUUUAGCCUACGAUACAUAAAUUAAAGGUAGGGCGUCACACUUUCCUCGCUGGUCCCUUCCCCUUGCAGUGUUCGGAGCAGCGGUAUUAGUCUUCGUCAGCGGACAGAGAGGAAUCGUCAUCGCCGUCGGUGGUUGUUCUUGUUAAGAUGUAGAUACAUAUGUGUAUUUCUUGUACAACAAGCCUUCCUCCUUCCUUGUAUAGUUGAGGACGUGGCUAUCCUUUGUACUUAUAUAUACGUGUAUAUUGCACCCGAUCAAUGUAUCGUGAGUUGCAUAAUCUUCUAUAUGGUAUCAGCCUUCCUACGAUCCUCUACCCUAGCCGCGUCGCCGCUGCUCCCUAGCCGCCGCCGCUAGUCUCCUUGCACGCCCGCGCCGCCGACUACUCGCCGCCGCCGCCGUGCCACCCUCCAACCAGGCC
RNAcentral lists this ribosomal RNA (2237 nucleotides) under Triticum aestivum (bread wheat). RNAcentral describes it as "partial small subunit ribosomal RNA". Lineage: Eukaryota; Viridiplantae; Streptophyta; Magnoliopsida; Poales; Poaceae. The record is from RNAcentral.